AAACCAUGAUGUGGGCAUUUCCUCAAUAGCUCCUUUAAUCUUUCCCAUAUCUCGUACAAUGAUUCCUCGUCUUCUUGAGAGUAGGUGUUCAUUUCGGUCAUGAGUUU
Molecule: small nucleolar RNA, 107 nt
Filed under: Helianthus annuus (common sunflower)
Lineage: Eukaryota; Viridiplantae; Streptophyta; Magnoliopsida; Asterales; Asteraceae
Description: Plant small nucleolar RNA R71
Rfam family: Plant small nucleolar RNA R71
About the family: R71 is a member of the C/D box family of snoRNAs containing the C (UGAUGA) and D (CUGA) box motifs. Multiple nearly identical copies of this snoRNA have been identified in Arabidopsis, and it is thought to function as a 2'-O-ribose methylation guide for 18S ribosomal RNA.
Source: RNAcentral